Molecule: ribosomal RNA, 409 nt
Filed under: uncultured microorganism
Description: bacterial SSU rRNA
Rfam family: Archaeal small subunit ribosomal RNA
Source: RNAcentral
GUGCAGCAGUCGCGAAACUUUACAAUGUGCGAAAGCACGAUAAGGGAACUCUGAGUGCCUCCUAAGGAGGCUGUUCAGGUGUCUAAAAGCACCUGGAGUAAGGGCUGGGUAAGACCGGUGCCAGCCGCCGCGGUAACACCGGCAGCCCAGGUGGUAGCCACUUUUAUUGGGUCUAAAGCGUCCGUAGCCGGUUGAGUAAGUUCCUUGGGAAAUUUGGCUGCUCAACAGUCAAGCUUCCAGGGAAUACUGCUCGACUUGGGGACUGGGAGAGGUCAGAGGUACUCCAGGGGUAGGGGUGAAAUCCAUUAAUCCCUGGGGGACCACCGGUAGCGAAGGCGUCUGACCAGACCAGGCCCGACGGUGAGGGACGAAGGCUAGGGUCGCGAACCGGAUUAGAUACCCCCGUAGU